This 75-nucleotide transfer RNA is filed under the name Bacillota bacterium. RNAcentral describes it as "Firmicutes bacterium (anaerobic digester metagenome) tRNA-Gly". It matches the Rfam family "tRNA". Rfam says of the family: Transfer RNA (tRNA) molecules are approximately 80 nucleotides in length. Their secondary structure includes four short double-helical elements and three loops (D, anti-codon, and T loops). The record is from RNAcentral. Lineage: Bacteria; Bacillati; Bacillota. RNAcentral also lists the same sequence under 1 other name.
GCGGAAGUAGUUCAGUGGUAGAACACCACCUUGCCAAGGUGGGGGCCGCGGGUUCAAAUCCCGUCUUCCGCUCCA